Molecule: non-coding RNA, 73 nt
Organism: Aedes albopictus (Asian tiger mosquito)
Lineage: Eukaryota; Metazoa; Arthropoda; Insecta; Diptera; Culicidae
Source: Rfam
UGUUCUGCGGCUUAGUUGGUUAAAGCGCCGGACUACCGAUACGGAGUCGUGGGUUCGAAUCCCACCAAAACAA